RNAcentral lists this ribosomal RNA (520 nucleotides) under uncultured Acaulospora. RNAcentral describes it as "SSU rRNA". It matches the Rfam family "Eukaryotic small subunit ribosomal RNA", at positions 569 to 1089 of the family's 1831-position model. Lineage: Eukaryota; Fungi; Glomeromycota; Glomeromycetes; Diversisporales; Acaulosporaceae. The record is from RNAcentral.
AGCAGCCGCGGUAAUUCCAGCUCCAAUAGCGUAUAUUAAAGUUGUUGCAGUUAAAAAGCUCGUAGUUGAAUUUCGGGGUUUAUCCGUUGGUCGGGCUUUUGGGUCUGUACUGGCGUGAUGAAUUCCUACCUUCUGAAUAACCAGCAUGUCAUUAAUUUGGUGCGCCGGGGAAGCAGGACUGUUACCUUGAAAAAAUUAGAGUGCUUAAAGCAGGCUAUUGCCUGAAUACAUUAGCAUGGAAUAAUGAAAUAGGACGGCAUGGUUCUAUUUUGUUGGUUUCUAGGAUCACCGUAAUGAUUAAUAGGGAUAGUUGGGGGCAUUAGUAUUCAAUUGUCAGAGGUGAAAUUCUUGGAUUUAUUGAAGACUAACUUCUGCGAAAGCAUUUGCCAAGGAUGUUUUCAUUAAUCAAGAACGAAAGUUAGGGGAUCGAAGACGAUCAGAUACCGUCGUAGUCUUAACCAUAAACUAUGCCGACUAGGGAUCGGACGAAGUUAAUUUUUAAUGACUCGUUCGGCGCCUU